CUCAAAUCAGGUGGGACUACCCGCUGAACUUAAGCAUAUCAAUAAGCGGAGGAAAAGAAACUAACAAGGAUUCCCCUAGUAACUGCGAAGUGAAGCGGGAAGAGCUCAAAUUUAAAAUCUGGCAGUUUUUGAAGCUGUCCGAGUU
Molecule: ribosomal RNA, 145 nt
Filed under: Asterostroma muscicola
Lineage: Eukaryota; Fungi; Basidiomycota; Agaricomycetes; Russulales; Lachnocladiaceae
Description: partial rRNA
Rfam family: Eukaryotic large subunit ribosomal RNA
Source: RNAcentral